CCAACCGCUGCCAGCCCAACCACGGCCAUGUCGAUGGCGCUGGAUUCCGCUGCGGACCACAACCCCCACCGCUCUCAGACGCUAGUCGGCCAGCAGGUUGAUUGAUUUUUCUCGACCACAUGUGCACGCACACACACCUACACGCAAGCUGUUGGAUCAAUUUUGGCCACCGGCUAGAUUACAAGCUCGUGCUCGUGCUGCACCUCGAGCGGGAGAUGGGGAUGGGCCUGGGUGGACGGGGUAAAACGGCGUCGCUACUCCGGUGAGGCUCGGCAAGAACGGAGUGGAGGAAGUGCUUGGGCUGAGCGAGCUGUCUGCGUUGGAGAAGGAGGGCCUGGAGAGCCUCAAGGGCGAGCUGUUGUCUUCCAUCGAGAAGGGCAUCACGUUCGCGCAGGAGAGCUAGGUGGCAACGUGCUCAGUGCUCAGCCUAUAACGGUUCACACUUGAACUCAUGCAUUUUUUGUUCGGCCGCUUUCGUUGCCUCCAAACCCGGUUGUGCUGCGGGGCAUCGAGGCGUCGUCGUGCUCCACAAUAAAAUGUACUGGCUUUGAUGUCUCCAGACUGAACUGAACCUGUAGUACCAAAAACAGCAGACAUCGGUGCCUACGAGUUUAUAGCAUUUGUACCCGAGAUCACGAAGCGAAACUGAAGAUUCUGUGAGCAUUAUAUUGUGCCGAUCGGCCCCUUUGUGUUGUACAGGGGCGGGUUUGCUGUUCUU
Long non-coding RNA from Triticum dicoccoides, 718 nucleotides. RefSeq lists it as uncharacterized. The record is from RefSeq and is a predicted model, not a curated record. NCBI's taxonomy places the organism in Eukaryota, Viridiplantae, Streptophyta, Magnoliopsida, Poales, Poaceae. The transcript has 2 exons.